AAGCGGGGUAGAGGAAUUGGUCAACUCAUCAGGCUCAUGACCUGAAAACUGCAGGUUCGAAUCCUGCCCCCGCCUA
RNAcentral lists this transfer RNA (76 nucleotides) under Senna occidentalis (coffee senna). RNAcentral's name for it is "tRNA-Met". It matches the Rfam family "tRNA". From Rfam's summary of the family: Transfer RNA (tRNA) molecules are approximately 80 nucleotides in length. Their secondary structure includes four short double-helical elements and three loops (D, anti-codon, and T loops). Lineage: Eukaryota; Viridiplantae; Streptophyta; Magnoliopsida; Fabales; Fabaceae. The record is from RNAcentral.